Molecule: non-coding RNA, 56 nt
Organism: Bacillus pumilus SAFR-032
Lineage: Bacteria; Bacillati; Bacillota; Bacilli; Caryophanales; Bacillaceae
Source: Rfam
UGUGUCAACGGUAAGCGGAGCGAAGUGAGCAUUAAGGAGUUGAAACAAUCAGCGAC